CCUACGGGAGGCAGCAGUAGGGAAUCUUCCACAAUGGGCGAAAGCCUGAUGGAGCAACGCAGCGUGGGUGAAGAAGGCCUUCGGAUCGUAAAACUCUGUUGUUAGAGAAGAAAGUGCGUGAGAGUAACUGUUCACGUUUCGACGGUAUCUAACCAGAACGCCACGACUAACUACAUGCCAGCAGCCGCGGUAAUACGUAGGUGGCAAGCGUUAUCCGGAUUUAUUGGGCGUAAAGGGAACGCAGGUGGUCUGUUAAGUCUGAUGUGAAAGCCUUCGGCUUAACCGGAGUAGUGCAUUGGAAACUGGGAGACUUGAGUGCAGAAGAGGAGGGGGGAACUCGAUGUGUAGCGGUGAAAUGCGUAGAUAUAUGGAAGAACACCAGUGGCGAAAGCGGCUCUCUGGACUGUAACUGACGCUGAGGCUCGAAAGCGUGGGUAGCAAACAGGAUUAGAUACCCGGGUAGUC
RNAcentral lists this ribosomal RNA (465 nucleotides) under uncultured bacterium. RNAcentral's name for it is "partial 16S ribosomal RNA". It matches the Rfam family "Bacterial small subunit ribosomal RNA", at positions 338 to 795 of the family's 1533-position model. The record is from RNAcentral.